UUUGUCUUCAGUCUCCUUGCACAAUGCAGAAACUAAUGUUUUUCCUGAAGUUGUGACUUGUGAGGUCAAAGGCUUCGGUAUAUAGGGAUAUGGGGUGUCUUUAAGGGUCAUUGUGGUAUUCUGGCUUAUAUUUGUAAUUUACGUCUUUAAUGCCCAUGUAAUGCUUAGGGAGAAUGGGUAGGCUUUUAUGAGCUAAGGUUUGGGAGUUGUAAAGAAGAAUAAGG
Molecule: unclassified non-coding RNA, 224 nt
Filed under: Hevea brasiliensis (rubber tree)
Lineage: Eukaryota; Viridiplantae; Streptophyta; Magnoliopsida; Malpighiales; Euphorbiaceae
Source: RNAcentral